UGGCCAAACUACCCUUCGGAGCACCAUACCCUCGGGAAACUGAGGCUAAUAGUGCAUCCCGCACUCACCCUGGAAUGGCGAGUGCGUCAAACGCUCCGGCGCCGAAGGAUGUGGCUGCGGCCGAUUAGGUAGACGGUGGGGUAACGGCCCACCGUGCCGAUAAUCGGUACGGGUCAUGAGAGUGAGAACCCGGAGACGGAAUCUGAGACAAGAUUCCGGGCCCUACGGGGCGCAGCAGGCGCGAAACCUUUACACUGCACGACAGUGCGAUAAGGGGAUCCCAAGUGCACAGGCAUAGAGCCUGUGCUUUUGUACACCCUAGGGAGGUGUCCGAAUAAGGGCUGGGCAAGACCGGUGCCAGCCGCCGCGGUAAUACCGGCAGCCCGAGUGAUGGCCGAUCUUAUUGGGCCUAAAGCGUCCGUAGCUGGCCGCGCAAGUCCAUCGGGAAAUCCACCUGCUCAACGGGUGGACGUCCGGUGGAAACUGCACGGCUUGGGACCGGAAGGCGCGACGGGUACGUCCGGGGUAGGAGUGAAAUCCCGUAAUCCUGGACGGACCGCCGAUGGCGAAAGCACGUCGCGAGAACGGAUCCGACAGUGAGGGACGAAAGCUAGGGUCUCGAACCGGAUUAGAUACCCGGGUAGUCCUAGCCGUAAACAAUGCUGCUAGGUGUGGCUCCCACUACGAGUGGGUGCUGUGCCGUAGGGAAGCCGCUAAGCAGGCCGCCUGGGAAGUACGUCCGCAAGGAUGAAACUUAAAGGAAUUGGCGGGGGAGCACUACAACCGGAGGAGCCUGCGGUUUAAUUGGACUCAACGCCGGACAUCUCACCAGCAUCGACUGUGGUAAUGACGGUCAGGUUGAUGACCUCGCCACGAGCCACAGAGAGGAGGUGCAUGGCCGCCGUCAGCUCGUACCGUGAGGCGUCCUGUUAAGUCAGGCAACGAGCGAGACCCGCAUCCGUACUUGCCAGCAACACUGCGAAGUGGUUGGGGACAGUACGGAGACUGCCGUGGCCAACACGGAGGAAGGAACGGGCAACGGUAGGUCAGUAUGCCCCGAAUGUGCUGGGCAACACGCGGGCUACAAUGGUCAGGACAAAGGGUUCCUACUCCGAAAGGAGACGGUAAUCUCAGAAACCUGAUCGUAGUUCGGAUUGUGGGCUGCAACUCGCCCACAUGAAGCUGGAUUCGGUAGUAAUCGCGUGUCACAAGCGCGCGGUGAAUACGUCCCUGCUCCUUGCACACACCGCCCGUCAAAGCA
RNAcentral lists this ribosomal RNA (1261 nucleotides) under Halorubrum tibetense. RNAcentral describes it as "bacterial SSU rRNA". It matches the Rfam family "Archaeal small subunit ribosomal RNA", at positions 101 to 1360 of the family's 1478-position model. Lineage: Archaea; Methanobacteriati; Methanobacteriota; Halobacteria; Halobacteriales; Haloferacaceae. The record is from RNAcentral.